UACCAGACUCCUACGGGAGGCAGCAGUGGGGAAUAUUGGGCAAUGGGCGCAAGCCUGACCCAGCAACGCCGCGUGAAGGAAGAAGGCUUUCGGGUUGUAAACUUCUUUUCUGAGGGACGAAGAAAGUGACGGUACCUCAGGAAUAAGCCACGGCUAACUACGUGCCAGCAGCCGCGGUAAUACGUAGGUGGCAAGCGUUAUCCGGAUUUAUUGGGUGUAAAGGGCGUGUAGGCGGGAAAGCAAGUCAGAUGUGAAAACUCAGGGCUCAACCCUGAGCCUGCAUUUGAAACUGUUUUUCUUGAGUGCUGGAGAGGCAAUCGGAAUUCCGUGUGUAGCGGUGAAAUGCGUAGAUAUAUGGAAGAACACCAGUGGCGAAAGCGGCUCUCUGGUCUGUAACUGACGCUGAGGUUCGAAAGCGUGGGUAGCAAACAGGAUUAGAUACCCGGGUAUC
Molecule: ribosomal RNA, 451 nt
Filed under: uncultured bacterium
Lineage: Bacteria
Description: bacterial SSU rRNA
Rfam family: Bacterial small subunit ribosomal RNA
Source: RNAcentral